UCCUCCCUCUGUCGGCGUGCCUAAUACAUGCAAGUUGAGCGCUGAAGGUUGGUACUUGUACCAACUGGAUGAGCAGCGAACGGGUGAGUAACGCGUGGGGAAUCUGCCUUUGAGCGGGGGACAACAUUUGGAAACGAAUGCUAAUACCGCAUAAAAACUUUAAACACAAGUUUUAAGUUUGAAAGAUGCAAUUGCAUCACUCAAAGAUGAUCCCGCGUUGUAUUAGCUAGUUGGUGAGGUAAAGGCUCACCAAGGCGAUGAUACAUAGCCGACCUGAGAGGGUGAUCGGCCACAAUGGGACUGGGACACGGCCCAAACUCCUACGGGAGGCAGCAGUAGGGAAUCUUCGGCAAUGGACGAAAGUCUGACCGAGCAACGCCGCGUGAGUGAAGAAGGUUUUCGGAUCGUAAAACUCUGUUGGUAGAGAAGAACGUUGGUGAGAGUGGAAAGCUCAUCAAGUGACGGUAACUACCCAGAAAGGGACGGCUAACUACGUG
This 497-nucleotide ribosomal RNA is filed under the name uncultured bacterium. RNAcentral's name for it is "partial 16S ribosomal RNA". It matches the Rfam family "Bacterial small subunit ribosomal RNA", at positions 36 to 507 of the family's 1533-position model. The record is from RNAcentral.